UCAGGAUGAACGCUAGCACAGGCUAACACAUGCAAGUCGAGGGGCGAGCAUGAGAUCAGCUUGCUGAUCUUGAUGGCGACCGGCGCACGGGUGAGUAACGCGUAUCCAACCUUCCCCCUACUCAGGCAUAGCCCGGUGAAAACCGGAUUAACUCCUGAUAGUUUCACUAGAUGGCAUCUGACGGUGAAUAAAGCUCAGCGGUAAGGGAUGGGGAUGCGUCUGAUUAGCUUGUUGGCGGGGUAACGGCCCACCAAGGCGACGAUCAGUAGGGGUUCUGAGAGGAAGGUCCCCCACAUUGGAACUGAGACACGGUCCAAACUCCUACGGGAGGCAGCAGUGAGGAAUAUUGGUCAAUGGGCGGAAGCCUGAACCAGCCAAGUAGCGUGCAGGAAGACGGCCCUAUGGGUUGUAAACUGCUUUUGUGCGGGAAUAAAGUCAGGGACGUGUCCCUGUUUGCAUGUACCGCAAGAAUAAGGACCGGCUAAUUCCGUGCCAGCCGCCGC
Molecule: ribosomal RNA, 503 nt
Filed under: uncultured bacterium
Lineage: Bacteria
Description: bacterial SSU rRNA
Rfam family: Bacterial small subunit ribosomal RNA
Source: RNAcentral